RNAcentral lists this ribosomal RNA (425 nucleotides) under uncultured bacterium. Its description in RNAcentral is "bacterial SSU rRNA". It matches the Rfam family "Bacterial small subunit ribosomal RNA", at positions 355 to 776 of the family's 1533-position model. The record is from RNAcentral.
UAAGGAAUAUUGGUCAAUGGUGGAAACACUGAACCAGCCAUCCCGCGUGCAGGACGAAGGCCCUCCGGGUCGUAAACUGCUUUUACCAGGGAAGAAACGUGUAGGUUCGUCCUGCACCUGACGGUACCUGGGGAAUAAGCACCGGCUAACUCCGUGCCAGCAGCCGCGGUAAUACGGAGGGUGCAAGCGUUAUCCGGAAUCACUGGGUUUAAAGGGUGCGUAGGCGGCUUUGUAAGUCAGAGGUGAAAGCUCACGGCUCAACUGUGGAAUUGCCUUUGAUACUGCAAGGCUUGAAUGAGUGCGAGGCAGGCGGAAUGUGGCAUGUAGCGGUGAAAUGCUUAGAGAUGCCAUAGAACACCGAUUGCGAAGGCAGCCUGCCAGAACUCAAUUGACGCUGAGGCACGAAAGCGUGGGGAGCGAACAGG